Molecule: long non-coding RNA, 1648 nt
Filed under: Homo sapiens (human)
Lineage: Eukaryota; Metazoa; Chordata; Mammalia; Primates; Hominidae
Description: HSALNT0157370
Source: RNAcentral
GCAUGAUCUUGGCUCACUGAAACCUCUGUCUCCCGGGUUCAACCGAUUCUCCUGCCUCAGCCUCCCAAGUAGCUGGGAUUAUAGGCACCCACCACCAUGCCUGGCUAAUUUUUGUAUUUUUAAUAGAGACGGGGGCUUCACCGUGUUGGCCAGGCUUGUCUUGACCUCCUGACCUCAGGUGAUCCACCCAACUUAGCCUCCCAAAGUGCUGGGAUUACAGGCAUGAGCCACCGCUCCCGGCCUCUUGCACUGAAGUCCAAAGGCCAGAAGAACCCGGAGGCUUUCGGCGUUUCCGCCUUUGCCUUCCGAUGUCCAUUCCCAUCUGAGCAGUCAUUUCUGCUUAAUUCCGCCAUUACUUCCUCCCUUGAUGCUUCUGAAACUGUCUCCUCAGCAGAUGAUCCCUGCAUUAGUUGGCGGAGCUGAUGGUGUUCCCUGUUUUACCCUGUGGUCUCAUUUCCGGAUGCUGCUACCAAUGCCCGUCUCUAUGGCUCCCUGCCCACGUGUGCAGCCCCGUCACUGAGAGGGAAGUGGCUGGAGAGGUGUCCAGAUCAUUGUGAAUGAAGUCAUCUGUGAAACCAUGGGAGAGAGAUUUGAUAUCUGCUUCCCUUUCAAAUGAAAGGAAAAGAGUGGGGUGAGAGAGGGCGGCACUCCCCAGACAGGCCCUGACCACACCCUGGCCCCACGCCUCAGCAGAACAACUCUGAACCUCUAUGGACUCACAGGGGCGAGGUCGGGGCAAGGAGACUCAGGGCCUGCGCUGCUCACCGGGUGAGAAGUCACAGCUGGUUAGGAGGCCACAGGUAAGCAGAGGUGCGAGCCACCAGGGACGGGGUGAGUUAUUCACAGGUGAAUGAGCUAGGACGAGGCAACAGCACGCAGGCCACGCCUCGCCAACCCAUGGGUCCUCAACAGGAUUUUGGUGACACGCAACACCCCUCUGGCUCCUGCUCUGAUCCAUGAUGGUGAGGGAGGUUCCCACGGUCACGCGUGUGCUGGGAUUCUGCUCUUUACGCCGUCCCCGGGCAACACAGACAUCAGCUCUUCUCUCCUCCAGCUGAGCAAAUACGGCAAUGUCGCUGAUGGCGAGAUUCCGGGCCAUCCAUUUAUCCUGUGUGGAGGCUGACAGGGACGCAUGCCUCAUCUGCUGCCAAGACACUGGGUUCCCUUGAGGGGACUCUGUCGACAUAACUCACCCUGUCCCGGGUGGCUCGCACCUCUGCUUACCUGUGGCCUCCUAACCAGCUGUGACUUCUCACCUGAUGACUUGGAAUCCUGGCCUUUUAGGAUAGAAAGAGAACACAGAGAUCCCGGCCCAUCAAGCAGGCCCCAGAAACAUGGGCAGCAGCAGGAGAGUGCCCAAGCUCCUGGCAGGGUGGGUCCAACCCUGUGUCGUGCCCCUGAUUCAGGCGUUGAAGCCUCAACUCCAGAUGCUGGCAUGAGGAGGUGGUUCCUGGGGAGGUGAUUUGGGUUAGAUGGGGUCCUGAGGGUGAGGCCCUCACGAUUAGAAGAGAAAGAGACCGGGCUCUUGCUCUCUGCCACACGAGGACACAGAAAGCGCCAUCUACAAGCCAGGAAGGGGCCUUCAUGGCAAUCCUAGUGGGCUGGAUCUUGGUCUUUGGUUUCCAGCCUUGAGAACUGAGAAAUAAAC